AGAGUUUGAUCCUGGCUCAGAACGAACGCUGGCGGCAGGCCUCAAACAUGCAAGUCUAGGGGGUUUAGCAAUACAUCACCGGCGGACGGGUGCGUAACGCGUGGGAAUAUACCUUUUGGUUCGGAACAACUGAGGGAAACUUCAGCUAAUACCGAAUGUGCCCUUACGGGGAAAGAUUUAUCGCCAAAGGAUUAGCCCGCGUAGGAUUAGCUAGUUGGUGAGGUAAUGGCUCACCAAGGCUCCGAUCCUUAGCUGUUCUGAGAGGAAGAUCAGCCACACUGGGACUGAGACACGGCCCAGACUCCUACGGGGGGCAGCAGUGGGGAAUUGUUCGCAAUGGGCGCAAGCCUGACGACGCAACGCCGCGUGGAGGAUGAAGGUCUUCGGAUUGUAAACUCCUGUUGCCCGGGACGAAACGUUUCGACCUAACACGUCGAGAUCUGACGGUACCGGGUGAGGAAGCCCCGGCUAACUCUGUGCCAGCAGCCGCGGUAAUAC
This 498-nucleotide ribosomal RNA is filed under the name uncultured bacterium. RNAcentral's name for it is "bacterial SSU rRNA". It matches the Rfam family "Bacterial small subunit ribosomal RNA", at positions 8 to 526 of the family's 1533-position model. The record is from RNAcentral.